AGAAGAACAAGAAGAAGAAGAAGAGUUGGAACUAGA
This 36-nucleotide small RNA is filed under the name Arabidopsis thaliana (thale cress). Its description in RNAcentral is "ATSL252850". Lineage: Eukaryota; Viridiplantae; Streptophyta; Magnoliopsida; Brassicales; Brassicaceae. The record is from RNAcentral.